This is a non-coding RNA of Podarcis lilfordi (Lilford's wall lizard), 79 nucleotides long. The record is from the annotation of a GenBank genome assembly. Lineage: Eukaryota; Metazoa; Chordata; Lepidosauria; Squamata; Lacertidae.
GUGCUCUCCAGAUAGUCCAGCUGGUUAGAGCGUGGUGCUGAUAAUGCCAAGGUUGCAGGUUUAAUUCCUGUAAGGGACA